Molecule: long non-coding RNA, 279 nt
Filed under: Pan troglodytes (chimpanzee)
Lineage: Eukaryota; Metazoa; Chordata; Mammalia; Primates; Hominidae
Description: long non-coding RNA NONPTRT015306
Source: RNAcentral
GGAGUCUCACUCUGUCACCCAGGCCGGAGGGCAGUGGCACGAUCUUGGCUCACUGCAACUUUUGUACAUCGUGGAUACAUGUCAUUGUACAUUUGUCCAAACACAUAGAAUACAGGACACCAAGAGUGAACCCUGACAUAAACUGUGGACUUUGGGUGAUAACGACAUGUCAGUGGAGGUUCACCAGUUGUAACAAAUGUACCCACUGUGUGGGAUGUUGGUAAUUAUCCCAAUGGGGGAGGUUAUGCAUGUGUGAAAGCAGGGAAUAUAUGGAAAACU